RNAcentral lists this unclassified non-coding RNA (21 nucleotides) under Mus musculus (house mouse). RNAcentral describes it as "oocyte_clustered_small_RNA11322". Lineage: Eukaryota; Metazoa; Chordata; Mammalia; Rodentia; Muridae. The record is from RNAcentral.
AGCCUCAACCCUCACAUUCUU